This 490-nucleotide ribosomal RNA is filed under the name uncultured bacterium. Its description in RNAcentral is "partial 16S ribosomal RNA". It matches the Rfam family "Bacterial small subunit ribosomal RNA", at positions 30 to 507 of the family's 1533-position model. The record is from RNAcentral.
AUUGAACGCUGGCGGCAGGCCUAACACAUGCAAGUCGAACGGUAACAGGAAACAGCUUGCUGUUUCGCUGACGAGUGGCGGACGGGUGAGUAAUGUCUGGGACACUGCCUGAUGGCGGGGGAUAACUACUGGAAACGGUAGCUAAUACCGCAUAACGUCGCAAGACCAAAGAGGGGGACCUUCGGGCCUCUUGCCAUCGGAUGUGCCCAGAUGGGAUUAGCUAGUAGGUGGGGUAACGGCUCACCUAGGCGACGAUCCCUAGCUGGUCUGAGGGGAUGACCAGCCACACUGGAACUGAGACACGGUCCAGACUCCUACGGGAGGCAGCAGUGGGGAAUAUUGCACAAUGGGCGCAAGCCUGAUGCAGCCAUGCCGCGUGUAUGAAGAAGGCCUUCGGGUUGUAAAGUACUUUCAGCGGGGAGGAAGGGAGUAAAGUUAAUACCUUUACUCAUUGACGUUACCCGCAGAAGAAGCACCGGCUAACUCCGUG